CUACGGGUCGCUGCAGUGAGGAAUAUUGCGCAAUGGGGGAAACCCUGACGCAGCGACGCCGCGUGGAUGAUGAAGGCCUUCGGGUCGUAAAAUCCUGUCAGAAGGAAAGAAGUGUAUGGUAGCUAAUAUCUGCCAUACUUGACGGUACCUUCAAAGGAAGCACCGGCUAACUCCGUGCCAGCAGCCGCGGUAAUACGGAGGGUGCAAGCGUUGUUCGGAAUUACUGGGCGUAAAGCGCGCGUAGGAGGGUUUAUAAGUCAGAUGUGAAAGUCCACGGCUCAACCAUGGAAGUGCAUUUGAAACUGUAAGACUUGAGUAUUGGAGGGGGUAGUGGAAUUCCCGGUGUAGAGGUGAAAUUCGUAGAUAUCGGGAGGAAUACCGGUGGCGAAGGCGACUAUCUGGCCAAAUACUGACGCUGAGGUGCGAAAGCGUGGGGAGCAAACAGGAUUAGAUACCCCCGUAGUC
RNAcentral lists this ribosomal RNA (465 nucleotides) under uncultured bacterium. RNAcentral describes it as "partial 16S ribosomal RNA". It matches the Rfam family "Bacterial small subunit ribosomal RNA", at positions 339 to 795 of the family's 1533-position model. The record is from RNAcentral.